Molecule: long non-coding RNA, 666 nt
Organism: Meriones unguiculatus (Mongolian gerbil)
Lineage: Eukaryota; Metazoa; Chordata; Mammalia; Rodentia; Muridae
Exons: 4
Source: RefSeq, a predicted model, not a curated record
CGGAGCCUCUAGUUUUCUUUUCUUCAGUCAUUUUGGCUUGUCUGGAUUAUUUCUAAAUGUAGUUGCAUUUAUACUUGGAAUCUCAGGAAGAAGGAAACUGAGACAGGAGAAUCAGGUAUUUGAACGAGAAUAGGUGACAUGAGUGUUUGGCUGCGUUGUUCUUGUCUCUAGGAAGGAGGUGCAGAUGUUAGCUUUGACAGUACAAUGCAACAGCAACUGGAGAUAUUUUAGCCUUGAGAUGUGAAUCGUCUUUGCACUGGCUGUGUACUUCAACAGGAAGCCUUUCUUUUUUACAUCAUCUUACCAUGUUAUCAGGCUAAAGAAAGAUCUCAAGAACCUGGCCUAAUUGAAGAGAGAUCAACAGAAACUGUUUCACAGUGGCUCUGGGAGCAACUUUGUCAGUUUGUCAAGUCAUUUCACAGUAAAUAUGUUUGAAAUCGUGUAUAUUUUAUCUUCAUAUUAUAUGUAAGUUUGGAAUGACCAUCUUUCCCACAUCUAAAGCUUAGCAAGGCUAGUGGCUAGUAGCUUGAGUAAUGCAGGCCCAGAAGCAGCAUUCACCUUAUCUACAGAAUCAAAACAAAAUCAGGCAUAAUUACUUUUCUCUUGCCUUGUUUGUUGAGUUUUGGAGUGACAUACAAUGCAUCCAGAUUUGAGAAUGAGAUUUAA